RNAcentral lists this ribosomal RNA (639 nucleotides) under uncultured bacterium. RNAcentral's name for it is "bacterial SSU rRNA". It matches the Rfam family "Bacterial small subunit ribosomal RNA", at positions 202 to 842 of the family's 1533-position model. The record is from RNAcentral.
CAAAGGCUUCGGCCGGUAAAGGAUGGGGAUGCGUCUGAUUAGCUUGCCGGCGGGGUAACGGCCCACCGGGGCGACGAUCAGUAGGGGUUCUGAGAGGAAGGUCCCCCACAUUGGAACUGAGACACGGUCCAAACUCCUACGGGAGGCAGCAGUGAGGAAUAUUGGUCAAUGGGCGCGAGCCUGAACCAGCCAAGUAGCGUGCAGGACGACGGCCCUAUGGGUUGUAAACUGCUUUUAUACGGGGAUAAAGUAUGCCACGUGUGGUUUAUUGCAGGUACCGUAUGAAUAAGGACCGGCUAAUUCCGUGCCAGCAGCCGCGGUAAUACGGAAGGUCCGGGCGUUAUCCGGAUUUAUUGGGUUUAAAGGGAGCGUAGGCCGGGUUUUAAGCGUGCCGUGAAAUGUCGGGGCUCAACCUUGACACCGCGGCGCGAACUGGAGUCCUUGAGUGCGCGGAACGUAUGCGGAAUUCGUGGUGUAGCGGUGAAAUGCUUAGAUAUCACGAAGAACCCCGAUUGCGAAGGCAGCAUACGGCAGCGCUACUGACGCUGAAGCUCGAAGGCGCGGGUAUCGAACAGGAUUAGAUACCCUGGUAGUCCGCGCGGUAAACGAUGGAUGCCCGCUGUUGGCGAUAUAUUGUCA